ACAAGUUGGAGCAAGUCAGAAGAUUUCCAUAUAUCCCAAGAAAGCGACGAGUCGUGACCCAAGGAAGCAAUAUAUCCCAAGGGUUAGAAGAGGCUCGCAUAUAGUGUUUUAAAACAGAUUGUCUGAAAAAGAAAAAAGAAAAGGGCCGGCGGAAGCUACCCAAGUGUUAGAAGAGACUCGCAUACCGUGUUUCAAACUGGAUUGUUAAAAAAUAAUAAAAAAUAAAAAAAUAAAAAUAAAAGAAAAGGGUGAGUUAGCCGGCAGAAGAUAAAAAAAUUAUGAAAAACCUAUAAGCUGCACAUAGAGGAAAAUUCUUUAUGCACCAC
This 326-nucleotide long non-coding RNA is filed under the name Elaeis guineensis (African oil palm). Its description in RNAcentral is "long non-coding RNA (EGUI_LNC005434)". The record is from RNAcentral. Lineage: Eukaryota; Viridiplantae; Streptophyta; Magnoliopsida; Arecales; Arecaceae.